Orbicella faveolata is the source of this 1563-nucleotide long non-coding RNA. The record is from RefSeq and is a predicted model, not a curated record. Lineage: Eukaryota; Metazoa; Cnidaria; Anthozoa; Scleractinia; Merulinidae.
CGCGCGAAAGUAACAACCAAUCAGGGACACUACAAGGAUCUUUGCAGAGUUGCGUCAUUUGAAAGGAUUUUUGGUCGAGUGGCCAAUUAAAAUUCACCAUCUUUAUUUUAUCAACUCUCAGUUUACUCAGGAUAUAUUUUGCAUGGUAACGGUUUUAACAUGUAAGUGUUUCCUUAGUCAUUUCAAUCGCCUUUGACUUAUGCGUUCUGCAGGCUCUUCUCGUGAUCUUAGUUUAAUUAGUUCAGCAACGCUCACAACUCGGACUUCAUAAAAACUGACACACAUGUUAUAUUUUUUGCCUUUUUUCUCAGGCAAAAGCCGGUUUGGGAAUGAAUAUUCUGGCUGUCACCGUGUUGGUGAUCUGUGUUAACACAUAUGGUGUCGCCAUGUUCGAUCUGAGCACUUUUCCAGACUGGGCUGCAAGUCGUGCGAGCCCGACUCCAACGACCCUUUCUGACAAUGUCACGCACGUUUGCUGAAAUGUCACGUCUUUAUAGGACAGCUUCCUGGUCAGCUGUAUUAGAGUUCAAUAAAGGAAAGGAAAGGAACUCCCUUUGAACCCUCUUUUGAGGCACUCUUGCGAAGAAAACGUCUUAUCUCUUUCGUUUAUAUUGCAGCUCGCUUAGCUAGUUUCUGUAUUGAACAAUUUGCCAUCCCAGAACAGGUUGUUUUCAAUCUCUUGUUAUACCAUUAUGCCGGCAUUAUUUUGAGCAUAAUAGUGGGAGCAAAGAAUUCAACAUUAUGCCGGAAAAAUAGUGACAAAAGCAGGCUGAUGGUUGGGGGCCUUGGGUAGGCCAAGAGAAAUCUGGGCACCAGUCACAUGACUACUGUACACACAGCACAAGCCAACAGGUUUUGCUAAUUCAGUCUAAUUCAAUCCUAUUCUGCUGCAUUUGAGCGAGUUUUUCAUUACUAUACUGAGAAAACGCAUUUCACAAUAGCCAAGCUAGAGCAAUGGUGGAUUACAUUGCCGGAGUCGUUCCUCACGCGUAAAUAUGAUAAGCGUUCAGUGUAAAUAUUAUAAUUUUUUGUGAGCAUAAUGGCGCCUAGUAGUCGCUCCUUUGAAGAAUAAUAGUGAGAUACUUUGAGCAUCGAGCAUUACUAUUUAGCAUCAUAGUGAAAAAUCUGAACAAAAUGUGUAAAACCCUAAUUACUACCGCGUAGAUUUUCAAAUCUUUCUCGUACAAUAUUACCAAUAAAAUUCGGCCACCACUUACAAAACUACAUUUGCAUCAAGCAGCAUUCCUGCUAAGACUGACAUUAAGAAAUCUUAAAGCACAAAACAAGUUCAUGAACUUUACUCAGCUAUUGUUGAUGUACAAUUAUAUAACAAUUUUGCACUGAUAAAUAUAUUAUGAACAACUACUUCAUUUUAUAGCGCUAACGCGCCUUUAAAGCCAACUUUGCAUUCAGCGUUCAAAGUGUUUAACAAAUAAAUAUCGAUUUUGUACUUCUCUUUUAGAGUUAAAGAGUCGUUAAAGACGAACGUUUGACAAGUUUUCAAAAUGUGAGAUUAACACACUCAAUUAAUUAGAAUAAAAACGUCAAAGUUGUUUGUAACAA